AUGGCUGUCCUGGUGCUGCUCCUCUGCCUGGUGACCUUUCCAAGCUGUGCCCUGUCCCAGGUGCAGCUGAAGGAGUCAGGACUUGGUCUGGUGCUGCACUCAAAGACCCUGUCUCUCACCUGCACUGUCUCUGGGUUGUCAUUAACCAGCUAUGGUGUACACUGGGUUUUCCAGCCGCCAGGAAAUGGGCUGGAGUGUGUGGGAGCAAUGUGGAGUGGACAUAUAGAGUAUAAUUCAGCUCUCAAUUCCCAGAUCACCAUCAGUAGCGACACCUCCAACAACCAAGUUUUCUGA
Molecule: non-coding RNA, 294 nt
Organism: Onychomys torridus (southern grasshopper mouse)
Lineage: Eukaryota; Metazoa; Chordata; Mammalia; Rodentia; Cricetidae
Source: the annotation of a RefSeq genome assembly